AAACCGUCCAGGGGUAAACCUGCGAAACUCGAAUGAACGAACGGAGAGAUUCAUCGUCAUUCCGCGGCGCACGUGCGCGGGUUCGGAUGCCUUCGGCCUCGCGCCGUGGGCACCGCUCGCGCCCGUCGCGUCCGCGGACGGCGUGCACUUCUCUCCCAGUAAUACAUCGCGACCCGUUCGGUGUCGGUCUAAGCGCCUUCCGGGAGUCUCAGCGCCGUACUCGUACGCGCGCUGUGACCGCGAAGUGUCGCCGACCGGCCGCCGGACGGUAUGUUAUACGAAACGCUCACGCGCUCGCGCGCGUCCGGCCCGACGCAAGGUGUCGCGUCGUAUCCUUUGUCCUGCCCGUGUGCGGACCGAGGUGCGGCGCGCCUGUCGUCGCAGCCGUGCUGUCUCGGACUGUGGGCGUAUC
RNAcentral lists this ribosomal RNA (412 nucleotides) under Epione repandaria. RNAcentral describes it as "partial 28S ribosomal RNA". Lineage: Eukaryota; Metazoa; Arthropoda; Insecta; Lepidoptera; Geometridae. The record is from RNAcentral.